GAACUCCCAUGUUCCUGAAUCCUGAUGACACCAACAACAGAUGAGUAAACUACAGAACAUGAGAUGCAGCAAACUACAAGUAGCCUAUCCUGAAGCAAUUCACAUACACACAAUAAGGUUUUUGUUUAUAAGAGCACCUGCCUUUUUUAGUACAUUAUCACCUAUACAUGUAUUACCUAUUGAAUCCAAAUACUCAAAAGUACCUGAUAGCAACUUUCAAAUUAAAUAUGAUCAUGCAAAAUGAGCUUUCUAAGAUAAAAUUACUCACUAAACAUCAGGUUUUUAUUUUACCUUGAAG
This 298-nucleotide unclassified non-coding RNA is filed under the name Hevea brasiliensis (rubber tree). Lineage: Eukaryota; Viridiplantae; Streptophyta; Magnoliopsida; Malpighiales; Euphorbiaceae. The record is from RNAcentral.